UCUCUGCCGCCCAGCGCAGCCCCGGCGCGACCCCCGCCCCCCGGCCAGGCCAUGUGACCCAGGCGGCCGUGUAGACCGGCCCCGAGGCCCGGGCCCUGCGCAUGAUGCGUCCAGGUUGGCUCCCGCGCUCUCUUCCGUGCUGUGCGCCCCGGACUCCGUGGAAGACUGGGCUGGGUUCCGGCGCUCGGCUCCGACCUCCGAGUGUCUAGCUCCGCGGCCUUUUCCGCACUCUGCGGGCUUCCUCUUUUCUCCUCUUCAGGCCCGUGGUCCAACUCCUCCUUUUCCUCCUGCGACCGGAGCAUCCUGACCCGCCUCACCACCGGCUGGGUCAGAGUGAUGCUCUUCCAGCAGGCACUGUCUUCAUGGGUCCACAGGUCUCAAACUCCAGCGUCUUGGAGUGAAAGGACUCAGGAGUGCUCACAAGAGGCUGGGCCACCGGGGGAGGCUCCCACCUGAGGAUUUGAGCUCAGUCCUUUGCAGCUAAUGAGGGACUGUCAAGGCCAAGACCUUGUUCUUGCCAUUUCAGAGAUUCAGAAUAUAAUCUACAAAGUUAUAGAUUAUAA
This is a long non-coding RNA of Sapajus apella (tufted capuchin), 563 nucleotides long. RefSeq lists it as uncharacterized. NCBI's taxonomy places the organism in Eukaryota, Metazoa, Chordata, Mammalia, Primates, Cebidae. The transcript has 2 exons. The record is from RefSeq and is a predicted model, not a curated record.